AUUGAACGCUGGCGGCAUGCUUACACAUGCAAGUCGAACGGCAGCGGGGGCUUCGGCCUGCCGGCGAGUGGCGAACGGGUGAGUAAUGCAUCGGAACGUGCCCAUGUCGUGGGGGAUAACGUAAGCGAAAGCUACGCUAAUACCGCAUACGUCCUGAGGGAGAAAGCGGGGGAUCUUUGGACCUCGCGCGAUUGGAGCGGCCGAUGUCGGAUUAGCUAGUAGGUGAGGUAAAGGCUCACCUAGGCGACGAUCCGUAGCGGGUCUGAGAGGAUGAUCCGCCACACUGGGACUGAGACACGGCCCAGACUCCUACGGGAGGCAGCAGUGGGGAAUUUUGGACAAUGGGGGCAACCCUGAUCCAGCCAUGCCGCGUGAGUGAAGAAGGCCUUCGGGUUGUAAAGCUCUUUCGGCCGGGAAGAAAUCGUGGUCUCUAACAUAGGCCAUGGAUGACGGUACCGGACUAAGAAGCACCGGCUAACUCCGUG
RNAcentral lists this ribosomal RNA (485 nucleotides) under uncultured bacterium. Its description in RNAcentral is "bacterial SSU rRNA". It matches the Rfam family "Bacterial small subunit ribosomal RNA", at positions 29 to 507 of the family's 1533-position model. The record is from RNAcentral.